This is a non-coding RNA of Paramuricea clavata, 301 nucleotides long. NCBI's taxonomy places the organism in Eukaryota, Metazoa, Cnidaria, Anthozoa, Malacalcyonacea, Plexauridae. The record is from the annotation of a GenBank genome assembly.
GUCAUGCCCAGCACCUAACCUGCGAACGGGCAUACUCUGGAAAUGAGAUUGGAAUAAUGGUAGAGUUGACAUGACAUUUUAUCUUUUGCACUUUUAUUUUCAAAUUUCACAAUCAAAAGACAAUAUCUCAUUUUCCUGCGGUCCAUUUUUCUGAAUCCGUUUUGACGAUUUAUAGUUAAUAGAGAAAAAUUUGAAGCGAGGUUUAAAAGAGAGAUUUCUAGACGUUCUUGAACACGUUGAAUAACGAUUGCAUAAACUCUGUUUUGUAGACUUUCAUGCUUAGCAAAUGUGCAAAGUUUGA